Molecule: ribosomal RNA, 266 nt
Filed under: Salmonella enterica subsp. enterica serovar Senftenberg
Lineage: Bacteria; Pseudomonadati; Pseudomonadota; Gammaproteobacteria; Enterobacterales; Enterobacteriaceae
Also listed under: 8 other names
Description: partial 23S ribosomal RNA
Rfam family: Bacterial large subunit ribosomal RNA
Source: RNAcentral
UCCUCCAAGGCUAAAUACUCCUGACUGACCGAUAGUGAACCAGUACCGUGAGGGAAAGGCGAAAAGAACCCCGGCGAGGGGAGUGAAAAAGAACCUGAAACCGUGUACGUACAAGCAGUGGGAGCACAGGUUUACCUGUGUGACUGCGUACCUUUUGUAUAAUGGGUCAGCGACUUAUAUUCUGUAGCAAGGUUAACCGAAUAGGGGAGCCGGAGGGAAACCGAGUCUUAAUUGGGCGUUAAGUUGCAGGGUAUAGACCCGAAACC